AGUGAACGCUGGCGGUAGGCCUAACACAUGCAAGUCGAACGGCAGCGCAGUAAGAGCUUGCUCUUACGGGUGGCGAGUGGCGGACGGGUGAGGAAUACAUCGGAAUCUACUUUUUCGUGGGGGAUAACGUAGGGAAACUUACGCUAAUACCGCAUACGACCUACGGGUGAAAGCAGGGGAUCUUCGGACCUUGCGCGAUUGAAUGAGCCGAUGUCGGAUUAGCUAGUUGGCGGGGUAAAGGCCCACCAAGGCGACGAUCCGUAGCUGGUCUGAGAGGAUGAUCAGCCACACUGGAACUGAGACACGGUCCAGACUCCUACGGGAGGCAGCAGUGGGGAAUAUUGGACAAAGGGCGCAAGCCUGAUCCAGCCAUACCGCGUGGGUGAAGAAGGCCUUCGGGUUGUAAAGCCCUUUUGUUGGGAAAGAAAAGCAGCAGGUUAAUACCCCGCUGUUCUGACGGUACCCAAAGAAUAAGCACCGGCUAACUUCGUG
RNAcentral lists this ribosomal RNA (492 nucleotides) under uncultured bacterium. RNAcentral's name for it is "partial 16S ribosomal RNA". It matches the Rfam family "Bacterial small subunit ribosomal RNA", at positions 29 to 507 of the family's 1533-position model. The record is from RNAcentral.